This 1595-nucleotide ribosomal RNA is filed under the name human metagenome. RNAcentral describes it as "bacterial LSU rRNA". It matches the Rfam family "Bacterial large subunit ribosomal RNA", at positions 1363 to 2925 of the family's 2925-position model. The record is from RNAcentral.
CGCUCUUCCGAUCUGGUUAUUCGUAACCUCGGGGGGCGGGCGGCGGGGGUCUGGGGACCCUCCGUGCAGGUAGGCAAGCGUAUUAACAGGGGUGACGCGCAGUGGUGGCCCCGCGGGUCUGAUGGCUCGGCCCGUUCAAGCGCGCAGCCCGCCGCCCAGGCAAAUCCGGGCGGCUGCCUUCAAUGGCGGGGGUGAGGCGUGACGGUGACCCGGCCCGGUGGGGUCGGGGAAGCAGGGUGAUCCUGUGGCGCCUAGAAAAGCCUCGACGCGAGGGGCCGGUCCGCCCGUACCCCAAACCGACACAGGUGGUCGGGCAGAGUAUGCCCAGGCGCACGAGCGAACCGUGGUGAAGGAACUCGGCAAAACGCCCCCGUAACUUCGGGAGAAGGGGGGCCCGAACCCUGAAACGGCCAGCCCGUUGGGGGUGAGGGUCGCAGAGGCCAGGGGGGAGCGACUGUUUACUAAAAACACAGGUCCGUGCGAAGCCGCAAGGCGAUGUAUACGGACUGACGCCUGCCCGGUGCUGGAAGGUCAAGAGGACCCGUCAACCCCCCGUGGGUGAAGCGGUGAAUUCAAGCCCCAGUGAACGGCGGUGGUAACUAUAACCAUCCUAAGGUAGCGAAAUUCCUUGUCGGGUAAGUUCCGACCUGCACGAAUGGCGUAACGACUUCCCCGCUGUCUCCACCACGGGCUCGGCGAAAUUGCAGUACGAGUAAAGAUGCUCGUUACGCGCAGAAGGACGGAAAGACCCCGGGACCUUCACUGCAGCUUGGUAUUGGCGCCCGGUUCGGCUCGUGCAGGAUAGGUGGGAGACUAUGAGGCCGCCGCGUCAGCGGCGGCGGAGUCAUCGUUGAGAUACCACUCCGGCCGUGUCGUGCGCCUGAACCCGGGCCCGUGAUCCGGGUCGGGGACAGUGCCUGGCGGGUAGUUCAACUGGGGCGGUUGCCUCCCAAAGAGUAACGGAGGCGCUCAAAGGUCCCCUCAGCCUGGUCGGCAACCAGGUGUCGAGUGCAAGUGCACAAGGGGGCUCGACUGCGAGACCGACAGGUCGAGCAGGUGCGAAAGCAGGAACUAGUGAUCCGGCGAUCCCGCGUGGGCGGGUCGUCGCUCAACGGAUAAAAGGUACCCCGGGGAUAACAGGCUGAUCCUGCCCAAGAGUCCAUAUCGACGGCAUGGUUUGGCACCUCGAUGUCGGCUCGUCGCAUCCUGGGGCUGGAGCAGGUCCCAAGGGUUGGGCUGUUCGCCCAUUAAAGCGGUACGCGAGCUGGGUUUAGAACGUCGUGAGACAGUUCGGUCCCUAUCCUCUGCGCGCGCAGGAGACCCGAGGAGACCCAUCCCCAGUACGAGAGGACCAGGACGGACGAACCUCUAGUACGCCAGUUGUCCCGCCAGGAGCACCGCUGGUUAGCCACGUUCGGAACGGAUAACCGCUGAAAGCAUCUAAGCGGGAAACCACCUCCAAGACCAAGUCUCCACACAACCCCCAACCGGGGUUGCGGAAGGCCCCCAGCAGACCACUGGGUAGAUAGGCCGGAGGUGCACACCCGGCAACGGGCUCAGCCAACCGGUACUAAUAGGCCAACACGAACCACACA